RNAcentral lists this ribosomal RNA (444 nucleotides) under uncultured bacterium. RNAcentral's name for it is "SSU rRNA". It matches the Rfam family "Bacterial small subunit ribosomal RNA", at positions 26 to 518 of the family's 1533-position model. The record is from RNAcentral.
AGAGCGAACGCUGGCGGCAGGCCUAAUACAUGCAAGUCGAACGCACCUUCGGGUGAGUGGCGGACGGGUGAGUAACACGUGGGAACGUGCCUUUUGGUUCGGAAUAAUCCGGGGAAACCUGGCCUAAUACCGGAUGUGCCCUUCGGGGGAAAGAUUUAUCGCCAUUAGAGCGGCCCGCGUCUGAUUAGCUUGUUGGUGGGGUAAUGGCCCACCAAGGCUACGAUCAGUAGCUGGUCUGAGAGGAUGAUCAGCCACACUGGGACUGAGACACGGCCCAGACUCCUACGGGAGGCAGCAGUAGGGAAUCUUGCGCAAUGGGCGAAAGCCUGACGCAGCGACGCCGCGUGGGGGAUGAAGGCCUUCGGGUUGUAAACCCUUUCAGCAGGGACGAAUUCAGACGGUACCUGCAGAAGAAGCGCCGGCUAACUACGUGCCAGCAGCCGC